This is a long non-coding RNA of Astatotilapia calliptera (eastern happy), 3429 nucleotides long. NCBI's taxonomy places the organism in Eukaryota, Metazoa, Chordata, Actinopteri, Cichliformes, Cichlidae. The record is from Ensembl.
CCCUGGUGUGGUGUAAUUGGCCUCAAUAGCAACUAAUGCCCUGGUGUGGUGUAAGUGGCCUCAGCCAGCAGCCACAGGCCCUGGUGUGGUGUAAGUGGCCUGAGCAAGAGCCACAGGCCCUGGUGUGGUGUAAGUGGCCUGAGCAAGAGCCACAGGCCCUGGUGUGGUGUAAUUGGCCUCAAUAGCAACUAAGGCCCUGGUGUGGUGUAAGUGGCCUCAGCCAGCAGCCACAGGCCCUGGUGUGGUGUAAGUGGCCUCAGCCAGCAGCCACAGGCCCUGAUGUGGUGUAAGUGGCCCCAGCCGGUCACUCAGUCCCUGGUGUGGUGUAAGUGGCAUCAGCUAGCAGCACAAGACAUUGGAAAACAGCCAAAAGCAAUGUCGUUAAUGUGCCCUCAUUAAUGGGCAGCUGCUUUUGGUCUUUUAAUACACCCCUUCUCUGGAUCAAAAGCGGUUCAAUGACAUGAAAAUGAAAGGCUUACAGCACCAGGUAUUCCCAGGUAGUCUCCCAUCCAAGUACUAACCAAGCCCAGCCCUGCUUAGCUUCCGAGAUCAGACGAGGUCGGGCGUGCUCAGGGUGGUAUGGCCGUAAGCUGCUGGCCCCAGCACAAUGUCUCAAUUUAUGGAUUCAACUGAUUAGGUGGCAAGUACCUGAAGUUACGAAGACAAUCCUUUAACCAUACCUGCAUGUUUGCAUAAUACCCUAACCCAAAGGCUCAGUUUAGCAUUUAUCUAACAGCACAGGCCCUGGAUUGUUGAAGAUGGCCUCAGGAACCAGCACAGGGCCUGGUGUGUUGUACAUGGCCACAGCUAGCAGCACAGGGCCUGGUUUGGUGAAGAUGGCCUCGGCCAGAAGCGCAGGACCUGGUGUGAUGUGAGUGGCCUGAGCAAGAGCCACAGGCCCUGGUGUGGUGUAAGUGGCCUGAGCAAGAGCCACAGACCCUGGUGUGGUGUAAUUGGCCUCAAUAGCAACUAAUGCCCUGGUGUGGUGUAAGUGGCCUCAGCCAGCAGCCACAGACCCUGGUGUGGUGUACGUGGCCUCAAUAGCAACUAAUGCCCUGGUGUGGUGUAAGUGGCCUCAGCCAGCAGCCACAGGCCCUGGUGUGGUGUAAGUGGCCCCAGCCGGUCACUCAGGCCCUGGUGUGGUGUAGGUGGCAUCAGCUAGCAGCACAAGACAUUGGAAAACAGCCAAAAGCAAUGUCGUUAAUGUGCCCUCAUUAAUGGGCAGCUGCUUUUGGUCUUUUAAUACACCCCUUCUCUGGAUCAAAAGCGGUUCAAUGACAUGAAAAUGAAAGGCUUACAGCACCAGGUAUUCCCAGGUAGUCUCCCAUCCAAGUACUAACCAAGCCCAGCCCUGCUUAGCUUCCGAGAUCAGACGAGGUCGGGCGUGCUCAGGGUGGUAUGGCCGUAAGCUGCUGGCCCCAGCACAAUGUCUCAAUUUAUGGAUUCAAGUGAUUAGGUGGCAAGUACCUGAAGUUACGAAGACAAUCCUAUAACCAUACCUUCAUGUUUGCAUAAUACCCUAACCCAAAGGCUCAGUUUAGCAUUUAUCCAACAGCACAGGCCCUGGAUUGUUGAAGAUGGCCUCAGGAACCAGAACAGGGCCUGGUGUGUUGUACAUGGCCACAGCUAGCAGCACAGGGCCUGGUUUGGUGAAGAUGGCCUCGGCCAGAAGCACAGGGCCUGGUGUGAUAUGAGUGGCCUGAGCAAGAGCCACAGGCCCUGGUGUGGUGUAAGUGGCCUGAGCAAGAGCCACAGGCCCUGGUGUGGUGUAAGUGGCCUGAGCAAGAGCCACAGGCCCUGGUGUGGUGUAAGUGGCCUGAGCAAGAGCCACAGGCCCUGGUGUGGUGUAAGUGGCCUGAGCAAGAGCCACAGGCCCUGGUGUGGUGUAAGUGGCCUGAGCAAGAGCAACAGGCCCUGGUGUGGUGUAAUUGGCCUCAAUAGCAACUAAGGCCCUGGUGUGGUGUAAGUGGCCUCAGCCAGCAGCCACAGGCCCUGGUGUGGUGUAAGUGGCCUCAGAAGCAAAUAAGGCCGUGGUGUGGUGUAUGUGGCCUCAGCCAGUGCCACAGGCCCUGGUGUGGUGUAAGUGGCCUGAGCAAGAGCCACAGGCCCUGGUGUGGUGUAAGUGGCCUCAGCCAGCGCCACAGACCCUGGUGUGGUGUAAUUGGCCUCAAUAGCAACUAAUGCCCUGGUGUGGUGUAGGUGGCCUCAGCCAGCAGCCACAGGCCCUGGUGUGGUGUAAGUGUGCUGUUGGAUAAAUGCUAAACUGGCUAAACUGAGCCUUUGGGUUAGGGUAUUAUGCUGCGUUCGGUGUGGGAGGCCGCGCCUCGUCCCAUCGCUUCAAUUCCAGCGGUCAGCUUAGGGGGGGUUUGAACAGCUGGUUCCGCUCUCUUAUUUCUCCGAUAAGUCAGGGCCAAGCCAGCUCCGAUCAGCAAGAACCCUGUUAUCAUGGUUCCGAAUAGGUAAAAGUUAGCUUCAUACCUGAGAGAUGGUACCUUCAAAUUCGUCCUCCAUGGUGCUUCUAUCACUAAAACAAUCCGCUGCUGUACUCAUGAUCACAUGACUUAGAUGAUUCUGAUUGGCUGCUCAAAUGCUCAUUAGGGGUGGAGCAUUUUUAUAACAUUAGUUACCAUAGGGCUUUGGAGCGUGAUGUAACGGGGUGGGCGUGGAAAGGAUUUUGGCCUGAUGCGCCAUUUUCGUGGUCAAAAUAUAUGGCGUUAUUUUUGUGCCACUAUUCUGAGCGCACGUAAAAAAAAUUUUGAACCGUCUGAGCUAGUGAUGGCCAAAUGAAGCUUUCUGAAGCACUGAAGCUUGUAUUGAAAAACGGUUCACUACUCGAAGCUUUUCAACACAGUCCUCUCUGGUGACAUCUGGUGGCCAAAAAUAUGAAGAGCAGCUUGAAUCCACAAAAUAAAACCAACCGCUUCAUUAUGAUUGCCCACACUACAGAGUGGAAUCCUGUCUGAUAUUGGGCCUCCGUUGUGUUGCUUUGAACGUGUAUUUUUUGGUGGUUAAAAUGUGUUUUAUUCGUUUAAUAAAUAGUUUUGACCAGUAAACUCUCCUUGUUUAAACAUGCACCAUGGUGUGGUCUUUCUUUGCUUGUGACUUCUUGAUGUUGGUAAAUACAAUAAUUGAAAAAUACCGCGUUACAUAUAUAUACAUAUAAUAAUGUAAAACACAUUAUGGAGUAUGCUUCUGCUGUGAGGUCUUGCCUCCAUGCAGGUAUGCAAUUAAUCGCCGGAGGGGUGUAUUUAUAAAUAAUAUUAUAUUAAGGAAAUUUUCCCAGACAUAUUUUUGACCUGGGGGUAGAAUUGAUUGUGAAAUGGAAAAGGAAAAUGCUUAUGAACUUGCAAAUUAAAAACAUGAUGCAUUGACGGUAACCCUUUUUCAUUUUUAUUUAAAAAGAGAAUUUGUUCUAGUGUGCGAUGGCCG